This 305-nucleotide ribosomal RNA is filed under the name uncultured bacterium. Its description in RNAcentral is "bacterial SSU rRNA". It matches the Rfam family "Bacterial small subunit ribosomal RNA", at positions 333 to 655 of the family's 1533-position model. The record is from RNAcentral.
UUUGACCUACGGGACGCAGCAGUGGGGAAUAUUGCACAAUGGGGGAAACCCUGAUGCAGCAACGCCGCGUGAGUGAAGAAGUCAUUCGUGAUGUAAAGCUCUAUCAGCAGGGAAGAAAAUGACGGUACCUGAGUAAGAAGCCCCGGCUAACUACGUGCCAGCAGCCGCGGUAAUACGUAGGGGGCAAGCGUUAUCCGGAUUUACUGGGUGUAAAGGGAGCGUAGACGGCUGUGCAAGUCUGAAGUGAAAUGCCGGGGCUCAACCCCGGAACUGCUUUGGAAACUGUACAGCUAGAGUGCAGGAGG